AAUUAAUCACAUGAUGCCUUAAUAUAAAUCCGGUUUAAGGUAGUUAGUACAGCAGUAGUUCUUAUAACGCUACAUUUUAGUACUACAUUAAUUUUCCCUGUACAUAUAUUUAGUGAUCUUUUCACUUAAACUAUAAAUGUAAAAACUAUAUUUUGUUAAUAAUAGUUACACUUGGGAAAAUUACACACUUUUACAUGAAACGAACAUUUAGAACAGUUAAGUCUUGGUAGAAGACUACAUUGAGAACAGUUAGGUCUUGGUAGAAGACACCCUUAUAUAAUAGUAGGAAUCAUAGGGAUUUCUAGGGUUUUUCAAACGUUUACAGUUGUUUUACAAACAUUUUUACACUUACAGUUCAUAUACAUUUUCAAUACUUACAAUUCAUAUACAUUUUCCAUACUUACAGUUCAUAACCUUACAAAUUCUUACAUACAAAUUAAGACACUAAAAUACUUAUGAUCUCACCAGCUUCAAAGCUGAUACUCGCUUUCAAAAUUACUUGUAUCCUCAGGUCAUCAUAGACAGGUACCGAUGCAAGGAGAAAGGAAGAUGGAGCUUGUUCAAGACUCAUCUUUCAUUUUGAUUUAUGCUUUAGUGUUUAUCAAAAUUUGACAGAACACAUUUGUAUAAUAAUUAUAUUAUUAAUGCAAUGGAUGAUGUUGUUGCUUGUUUACUACUUUACAUUGUUGUGAUACUGUACAUGACGUCCUCCGCCCCAGAACGUUUCCGCCGUUCUUGGUUUUGGGGUGUGACAGAUUGGUAUCAGAGCAUUGUUUAUAGUGAAUUAAGUAUAUCAACCCAUAAAAGAUAUACUAACUAUAAAUACAUAAGGGAUUAAAAAUACUCUGACCAAGAGUUUAUACUUUAAAUAAUAAAAUAUUUAAGUAAGUAUACGUGCCUCAUUCAUACUAAAAUCAGUGUCACUAGGACAGUACAAAAGAAUUACGAUUGUUGGGCAACACAAGUGGGCUUAGAGACAUAUGGUCAAAACUGGGAAGAUAUAGCCUGAUCACCUAUAUUAUCCGAGGGUUGACUAGCAUGUGCCUAAGUUUAAUUGUGUGGUUGCAACAAUGCUAAAAUCUUACCAACCCUACCACAAUGAGAACAAUAGAACAUAACAUUAAAAUUAAAAUACUAUAGGAGUAUUUGGUGUUACUAUAAGUACUUUAUACUUGAGAACUAAAACGGGAUCUUCAUUACUAAGUUGAUAGUUGCUAAGUGGAUACACUAAGGCUAUAUGUAAUUAGGAUGUUAUAGACUUAGAAUCUGUGGAAAUUUUACUUCACCCCUAUUCUGUGUGAAUACGGAGUUAAGGUCACUUAUUCGAAGGUCUAUCCUGUUUAGAUUACAUAUAACUGGUAUGCACUUCACAAAUAGCGAUGUAACUGAUGAAGAUUUUCUAAAUAAUUAUCUAGAUAGUUCGUCUAAUAAUUAUUUCUUUACCCCCAAAUUCUCGCAUAGAUAACAUAGCUGUACUCCAUCCCUACGUCAACCAGUACCUUCCGAAUGAGGUCAUUGUUGGAUGGUUUGAAGAAGAACCAGAGAAUGAUCAUCCUAUCCCUUUGAAUGAUCACCAUGAUGAAAACCUUUCGGACGAUGCUAAUUCAAAACCAGAGGUUGAGAACCUACCCCAGGCAGCUCCCGUUCCAAUUCCUAACCCUCGUUCGGCUUUUCAUGGCCCGACCUUGAGUGAGUGGAAUGUUUGGAGACAUGGAGCCAAGGACAAGAUCAGCCUAUGCCAUUUAAUGGCGACCGAAGCUUUUACGACUUGAGCAAUGGGGGCUCAGCAGAUAGAGUCUUGCCAAUCUUGGUCCGCAGAGUGGCCUGAAAUGAGAUUCAAGGCAGGACAGCCUUACAUCAGAUUACCGAAGUUGUCGCCGAUGCGAGAAUGCAUACCCUCCGCACCAUUCGUCUAGAAGAUGCUCACGAGAGAUCAGAGAGAAACCAUGAAACCCUGCUGCAAGCACUGGCUGAAUCACGAGCCGAAGUCAUAGAGCUCCGAGUACGCCAGAGGGUGUACGAAAGACACCUACUUGACGUGGAACAUCAACUGGCUGAACUGAGAGUUCACCAGAGGGAUGACCGUCGCCAGGAGUAGAUGCUUUACCUUACUUCCCUUGUUAGAAAGUAAUCGUUUUUUGUCUUUGCCUGAUGUGGCAUUUUCUAUGAAAUUAUCUUGUACUGUAAGUACUUUUAGUUAGGUCUUUAUGCUGUCAAGGACGAUCUUCUCUAGAUAUGAUGUAAGACCUUUACAAGGUCAUUUUCCCGAAUCUUUACAUCGUAAAUAUCAAAGAUAUUGACAGCCGGCUAACUUUUCUGUUAUUCUUCAUUCAAGUACUCUUAUCAUACUUUCAUUGGGGUCUAUCUGAAACAUGCUUUAGUCAAGUCAUUGGACUAUAGUGAUUUAUCUCCGGAGACAUUUCCAAGUCUCUUUCAGUGGUUGGAUCUUGUUAUUCACCAACCCACGAUACCUCGGCUUGCACAACAAACGUUUUGAGACCAUUCUACGAACUUACUUCUACUCAUUACUAGGACUGCAUCAUAGGGAUGUAGGUCAAACCUUCGCGAACAUACUUCCAUUCUGUACUAGGACUGCAUCAUAGGGAUGUAGGUCAAACUUUCGAGAACAUAGUCGUACUCUUUACAUGAACAAUCUAAGUACAUCAAGGGUCAACCAGAAUCACUCACAAAACCCUUAUCUUUCGUGUUACAGAAUCAUGUCGUCAUCCGGAAGCAAUCAGUCGAACAGCGAAACCUCCGCUUUUCCUAUGGACGCCGCUACCUUUCAAACAGCAGUUACAGCUGCCGUAACCGCGGUCCUUGCGCACCGUAGCGCUAUCAGCACAGUCAAUGCUGCUGAUGGGAAUGAAGUUUCCAAUCGUGGUAUCCAUCCAGGAAGUCGCCAAACAGUAACAGUCACAGGCUCGCAAAGCCGAAAAGCAGAGAACAAGAAACGAAAGCGUCAAGCCCGGAAAGAACACAAGAGAUCCCAAAGGCUGGCUGUACAACAACAGCAAGUAGAAACCUCUGCCAUCCCCGUACCGAGAAGACGAUACAAAGGAACACUCCCGAAGUACGAUCGGUGCAACCACCACCACAAGGGAAUUUGCCGAGCCUGGCAAUGCAAAAAUUGCAACCAGAUGGGACACAUUGCUCGUUUCUGUAGAACUACCUCCAACACUGGAGCAAGCCUAGUUUGCUAUAGUUGUGGUGAGGCAGGGCACUAUUACAAAAAUUGCCCAAAAGAGAAGAUCAACGAAAGCAACCGUGUGCCCAUAACUCCUACUCGACACUUCACUUCCAACACCAAUGUGGGUGCUGUCCAUAUAUGUCACCAAUGCGGUGAAAUUGAACACCUCAAGAAGGAUUUCCCUAUAACGCAGAACUCUGGCGCAGACGGGAAAAUUCUCAGGAUCACGGCUGCAGGAGAGCUUUCUCCGGAACCACGUUAAAUGUAAUUUAGGCGUUUCGUUGUAACAGACUUAUAAACUAUCCCGAACUAGUGCAACUAGAGUCCUAUCUUUUGCGAGAUCCCGUAGGAUUAGGGAUGCUCGUGCUGCGUAUACUUGUCUUUUGUAGUAUACCUUUUUAGCAGCAAUAGUCUUGUAGGAACUCUGUGGAUGGUUGCACGGUUGUGUUUUUUCUGUAAAACGUCUUAUAUUCAAAUCUAAUGUCUUUAAGUUUCAGUAUGAUUCCGACAUUAUCAUACGACUCGAGUCAAUUUGAUCCUCACAAAAACAGCUUUUUACGUACAUCUCUUCCUUCUAGAUCACUUUUCCAGCGAAGUCGUCAUAUCAGAACACCGAAGUACUCAUGCUAGGAGUACCUCUUAGUUAUUUUUCCAAAGAAAUCCCCGAAGUACCACUCCUGCAGUACGUUAAGUUCAAUCCAAGGAUUUAUACGAUUGAUCUAUCACUGAGGAAUGUAUGCAUAAGAGUGAUAUAUAAUCAAGGUUCUACAGGUUUAGAAUUGAUGAUUUCACUUUAACUUCUUUUUCCCCCAGGGGAUGUGAGCUUAAAGAAGAAUCAGUUAUUCGACUACCUUUUCAAUCUUAAUCAUAUACGACUCGUAUACACGAAAAAGUGAUUGUGAAACCAGGUAUGAAUUCUAAUAUGAACUUCAGGACGGAGAACUGCCUAAGCCUACGAGAGAUCGCAUCGUCAUGUGAACAAACUUAGAACCCAGUACGACUCGUGUAAACAGAUCGCCCUAUAGUUUAAACACCUACGGAGAUACAAGAACAGUCCGGACAACUUAGCGAACUACACAGAAAUAGAAUUAGAAGACUAGGUUUCUCACCCUAGAGAACCCCGGUCAUAUUCUUCCAGAGAUCGACGGAUCGCAUUGUAUGUACCUUGGUUAUCAAGGACUCCGUCAAGAUUUUUCAUUAGGAAUCAUUAUCUCUGCCUCGCAUAAAUGAAAUGGUUGAGCAAACGCAAGGAAAGAAUUACUUUCAGAAAUGGAGCUGAGAUCUGAAUAUCACCAGUUCGAGUGUUAGAGAAGGAUGUCUGUAAGACUAUCUUCCGAACUCGAUAUGGACACUUCGAGUCCGUAGUGAUACCCUUCGGAUAGGACCAAUACACCCAUAGCUUUCAUGAGCUAAACAAAUAGGGUACGUCUUUCUUACUUGGAUCAAUUCGUCAUUUCUCCAUGUAAUGACUUACUUAUCUACCCUCGUAGUAAGAAGAAAACCCAUGGAAACAUUUCCUACAGAGGAACUUUUAGCGAAGUUCUCUAGGCACGAGUUUUGAAAUUGAAGAGUCAAAUUUCUAUGACACACUGUUGUAAUGUGGGAAAUUUUGAGUACUCUUUCAAUUUGUCAAAGCCGUUGAGCAUUUGUCGACACCAGAGACGCCGACAGUCAUUCGCCAAAUUCUAGGUCUUACCGACCUACCGUCUUAGUUCAUUCAGAACUCCUCGCAAAUUACAGAAACCCGUACGACUUUGACCCAGCAAGGGGUGGCCUUUGACUGGGAAGUUAAGCAAGAAAAGGAACCUUUGGAAUUCCAAGUGAGUGACCAAGCUCUUUAGGUUAACUCACUCUGGGAAUGGCUUAAUACGCUUCGUAUCGCGUGGAAAGCUAAAUCCAAUAUAGUUAGGACCUCCGAGAUUCUUAUCAGAAUCGGUCCUGUGCCUCGCACAAACUAGACCUACUCCGCGAACUCAGUAACGUACAUUCUACUCUUCGCGUCUCGAUCGUGAAACCAUACCUUUCCGUUAGGACUCUUGUAAGUCCACUCGUCGAGAUCCUCGCCUUCGUAUUAGAACCGUAGUGACCCUCGACCGAGAGGUCAAGCGGACGAAGCAACGCCGUCGCCAGUUAGUGAAGGUUCGUUGGAAUGCCAACCGAGAACCCGAUUUCACUUAAGUGCGCUAGAACCAAUCGAUUAGGAAGUUUCCUCCUCACGACUCGAUCAUUCGUACAUACUUCCUUGCCUAAAUUCUAAUUUCGGGACGAAAUUCCCUUCAACAGGGAGAUAAUGUGACAACCCGAAAUUUCCAUUCUGAACAAACCAUUUGAAGCCAAUAGAAGUAGAACAGUUACAGUGAAAACUCAGAUUUCGAGUAUAAGUUUGGCAGUUUUCAAGGUUUUACACUUAAGGAGAUAUAAGGAGAGUGGAUGCACUAGGGUUUUGUGCAACACUGUUAUUCCAAUACUCUAGGAUAUUAGAGUUCAUUCCGAGAAUAGAAAUAUUUUCUGCCAAAAAUCCCAGGACUAUAUAUAGAAAACUGAACCAAAUUGGUUCAUUAGUUGAAUUCCAAUUAGAGAAAAGCCAAAAUUCUCUCUCACGGAUCUUCGGGUUUUUAUCCCAAAUUGUGAGUACUUCGAUCUAGUUAUUUUAUAUAGCUUAGAUUGUGUUUAGAAACGCCAAUUACAUAACAAAUCUGCAAGAUUCGGGAGUUUACCGCCCAAGAACGUUCUUGGGGAGUAAACUCCAAUAAGUGGCUUAAAUGCUACCUAGUCCUUUCCCCGUGACUUGUAACUACCUUAGACUUGUAUGCUAGUGUGUAUACGACUAGAAAACAUCGAAAUCGGAUUAAUAACCCAAGAUUUGGGAGUUUACCGCCCAAGAACACUUGGGGAGUAAACUCCAUUUUAAGGUCCUAAAGGGUUCCAAUGACCCUCAAAGCUUUAGAGCUCGAACUAGAAGCCUUCAUUUCAUGUUUAGAACACCAAAAUCAUUUCAAAACAAUGAGGAAAGUGAGUUCACGGCCAAGGAAGUUCUUGGGCCGUGAACUCCAUGUUAAGUGCCCAAAGUGCCCUAAAUGCCUUCAUUGAACCAAUAGACUAGCAUAGCACAUUACCUUGAUGUGUCUAAGACCCAAAGCAAUCAAAAUACCAACACCUAGGGGUGUUCACGGCCGUAAACACAUGGCCAAUUGGUUCAUGGGCCGAAAACUCUAAAUAGGGGUGUUUUGAUGCCACAAACACUUCCUAAGGCUUAGGCUUAAAUUAGGACAAGUACUCUAAAGUGUUUAUAGCCUAGAAAACAUAAGGAAUCACAUGUAUUAAGGAGUUUACGGCCAAGACAAGUUCUUGGGCCGUAAACACCUAUAAAGGGGUCAAAUGACACCCUAACUCCUUCCUUAUGCCUAGAACCCAACAUAGAUCAUAACCUUGAAAUGUUAGAGACUUGAAAACACCAUAAACACCCUCCCAAGGGAGUUUACGGCCGUAAACUCCAAGGGAAUAUGGUCCCAGGGCCGUAAACUCCUCAAAGGAGUUAUUAGGAAGCCCAAACACUUGUUUAAGCCUUGAAGCAAUUCACCACAUGAGUUGUAUAAUUGUUAGACUUCAUUUAGGGACUUGGUUGAGAGUUUACGGCCAGGAGUUUACUCCCCUGGGCCGUAAACUCCAAAACAUAUGGUCAUUAGACCAUAAACUCCCAUUAGGGGCAUUGCACUCCUUUGUUGCAACCCAUUAGCCUCCUAGCACUUGACCAAAAGUGUUUUCCUCGCGUUUAAAUGUUUAUACUUGUAUAAUUAGUGUUUUAAUCACUAAUUAUUUAUAUACAUAUGUCUUCAUAUGUAAUUAGGAUCAUUGUGUGUGUCUAAGUCUUCACUUGACACCAAGCACUUGUCCGAUCCUUCCUUACGAUAACAGUCCGUUCAAUUCCAGUCACUUACUGCAGGUGAGUUCAUACCCCUUAACUAAUGUUUUAAACUAUUUUUAAAUGUUUUAUGGGGGGGAUACAAGUAGAAUCAUGCUAGUUAUUAUAUCAAUCACAUGUGAUUAAUAAGUAGAAUUAUGCUAGUUAUUACAUCAAUCACAUGUGAUUAAUAUACAACAUUCAAAUGAUUUGGCUACUCAUUAGCCGUUUUACCAAACAGUUUCCUUCAAAUGAUUUUUAUAAACAUUUUAUAUGUUUUAAACUCCUUAUUACACUGUACAUUUUACUCUGUAUAUUACAUUUCAAACUUAUUUACAAUUGUGUUUCAAACAAAUGUUUCUUUAUACUAAACUGUUUUAUCAAACCCAUGCCUUCAAAUUGUUUUAUAGAUUGACAUCAAGUCGAUCUUUUCUUAAGAUAAUAAUUAUGUUCAAAUGUUUUACAAAACUUAUUUAUGCUUUUAUAUUAUAAAUUGCAUGCCUCUAUAUGUAUAGUUAUAUAAGAAAUGUUUAAAAGACUUAGGAAGGCUAUCCACCCUAUUUCCUUUUCGCGCUUGAGAUGUGGUCUGGUGGGAUAUCGGGUACUCGUCCGAAGGUCGUUUAAAUAUUAGUUAUAUAUCAUGUGUACAUAUAUAGUCAUAAAAGGCCCUUCCAGUUCAUCCCAUGCCCUUGGGUAGCAAGGGUAUACAUCCAUGUUCAUACGUACCAGUUAGAUUACUAGUAAACUACCAUAUGGGUAGUUUAGGAAGAUACUAGAACAAUUACUAGAACGCGAUAUCAUACAAUGAGUCAGUUCAUUCAUGAGUCAAUACUUUCUAGAACAUUACAGUACAUUACAUAUACAACUAUACUAGGAAGAGAACAUAUACAACUAUACUAGAAUGAUUACAUUACUAUACUUGCUAGGUAGAGAGCACGUACAUUACAGCUAGAACAGUUCAUUACAUUACAUAUACAUGAAUACGUUAAUAAUUGUGAUCCACUGUAUCGGAGCAUGCCUUAAAUGUCAUGGCCCGAGUUGUAGCCAGAAUUCUCUUGGAGGGAGAGCGUGAGUUUGCGUAUAGAUCUAUACUGGAUUGACUAUCCUACACCUUGCUGCUAGCUACAGCCGGACCUGCAGGUCUGCGGGUGCCAAACGUCAUUCCGUUAUUACGACCAUUCGUAUGUCGUUGUUACCAGUCGAUAGUAUGGUGCAAUUUAUCACAUGAUGCCUUAAUAUAAAUCCGGUUUAAGGUAAUUAGUACAGCAGUAGUUCUUAUAGCGCUACGUUUUAGUACUACAUUGAUUUUCCCUGUACACAUAUUUAGUGAUCUUUUCACUUAAACUAUAAAUGUAAAAACUAUAUUUUGUUAAUAAUAGUUACACUUGGGAAAAUUACACACUUUUACAUGACACGAACAUUUAGAACAGUUAAGUCUUGGUAGAAGACUACAAUGAGAACAGUUAGGUCUUGGUAGAAGACACCCUUAUAUAAUAGUAGGAAUCAUAGGGAUUUCUAGGGUUUUUCAAACGUUUACAGUUGUUUUACAAACAU
RNAcentral lists this long non-coding RNA (8645 nucleotides) under Lactuca sativa (garden lettuce). RNAcentral's name for it is "long non-coding RNA (LSAT_LNC005950)". Lineage: Eukaryota; Viridiplantae; Streptophyta; Magnoliopsida; Asterales; Asteraceae. The record is from RNAcentral.